GACGAACGCUGGCGGCGUGCUUAACACAUGCAAGUCGAACGGAAAGGCCCUGCUUUUGUGGGGUGCUCGAGUGGCGAACGGGUGAGUAACACGUGAGUAACCUGCCCUUGACUUUGGGAUAACUUCAGGCAACUGGGGCUAAUACCUGCUAGGAGCUCCUGCUGCAUGGUGGGGGUUGGAAAGUUUAGGGUGUUGGGGAUGGACUCGCGGCUUAUCAGCUUGUUGGUGGGGUAGUGGCUUACCCAGGCAUUGACGGGUAGCCGGCCUGAGAGGGGAGACGGGCACAAGGGGACUGAGAGACGGCGCAGACGCCAACGGGAGGCAGCGGGGGGGAAUAUUGCACAAUGGGGGGAAGCCUGUGGCGGCAGCGCCGCGUGCGGGAUGACGGCCAUGGGGUUGUAAACCGCUGUCGGCUGAGACGAAGCGGUUGUGACGGUAAUGGGUAAAGAAGCACCGGCUAACUACGUG
Molecule: ribosomal RNA, 468 nt
Filed under: uncultured bacterium
Lineage: Bacteria
Description: partial 16S ribosomal RNA
Rfam family: Bacterial small subunit ribosomal RNA
Source: RNAcentral